GUGAGGAAUAUUGCGCAAUGGAGGCAACUCUGACGCAGCCAUGCCGCGUGCAGGAAGAAGGCGCUACGCGUUGUAAACUGCUUUUAACCGGGAAGAAACCCCAGGACGUGUCCUGGGUUGACGGUACCGGAGGAAUAAGCACCGGCUAACUUCGUGCCAGCAGCCGCGGUAAUACGAAGGGUGCAAGCGUUAUCCGGAUUCAUUGGGUUGAAAGGGUGCGUAGGCGGAGCGUUAAGUCAGUGGUGAAAUCCUGCAGCUUAACUGUAGACUUGCCAUUGAUACUGGCGCUCUUGAGUGCGCUUGAAGUGGGCGGAAUGUGCCGUGUAGCGGUGAAAUGCUUAGAUAUGGCACAGAACACCAAUUGCGAAGGCAGCUCACUAAGGCGAUACUGACGCUGAGGCACGAAAGCGUGGGGAUCGAACAGGAUUAGAUACCCGGGUAGUCC
This 445-nucleotide ribosomal RNA is filed under the name uncultured bacterium. RNAcentral describes it as "partial 16S ribosomal RNA". It matches the Rfam family "Bacterial small subunit ribosomal RNA", at positions 354 to 796 of the family's 1533-position model. The record is from RNAcentral.